This is a long non-coding RNA of Macadamia integrifolia, 415 nucleotides long. RefSeq lists it as uncharacterized. NCBI's taxonomy places the organism in Eukaryota, Viridiplantae, Streptophyta, Magnoliopsida, Proteales, Proteaceae. The record is from RefSeq and is a predicted model, not a curated record. The transcript is spliced from 2 exons.
UAAUCAACACUGAUUUCUUUUCAGAUGUUAAGGUUGCCAGGUGACGGUGGGGUGAAGGGCUCUAUGAGAUGUGUUUAAAUUACCACUAAAUUUUGAUUGUGGCACUUUUGGGUUCACGGUUGAGACCCAAGCAGUUGAAUGCAUACCCAGAUGCAUGCUUCAGUUUGUCUGUAUAUUAGUUUUAUCCUAUAGCUUGAGGUGCUUAUCCUGAUACUGAAUUGUGAUCAUAGUUGUCACGGCGCCAAGGCGAUGGAGAGCUGUCUAAGCGCUUAGGCGAGAAGGCGCCCGCCUUAAGGCGAAUAAGGGGAAAAAGAAAGGAAGCACUAGCAGAGGAGCAGAGAAGAAGAAGAAGAAACAUAGAAAGAACCGGCAGCCUCCAUAAGAAGCAUUCGAGAACAUCAGAGGGGAAAAAGAA